Molecule: non-coding RNA, 4349 nt
Organism: Oryctolagus cuniculus (rabbit)
Lineage: Eukaryota; Metazoa; Chordata; Mammalia; Lagomorpha; Leporidae
Source: RefSeq, a predicted model, not a curated record
UGGACUCUGCCUCCGGAAGCAAGUGCUAAUAUGACUUUUUUUUUUUUUUAUUAUUUUUUUUUUUUUGACAGGCAGAGUGGACAGUGAGAGAGAGAGACAGAGAGAAAGGUCUUCCUUUGCCGUUGGUUCACCCUCCAAUGGCCGCCGCGGCCAGCGCGCUGCGGCCGGCACACCGCGCUGAUCCGAUGGCAGGAGCCAGGAGCCAGGUGCUUUUCCUGGUCUCCCAUGGGGUGCAGGGCCCAAGCACCUGGGCCAUCCUCCACUGCACUCCCUGGCCACAGCAGAGGGCUGGCCUGGAAGAGGGGCAACCGGGACAGAAUCCGGCGCCCCGACCGGGACUAGAACCCGGUGUGCCGGCGCCGCUAGGCGGAGGAUUAGCCUAGUGAGCCGCGGCGCCGGCCCUAAUAUGACUUUUGACAGGAGUUUUUGCAAGUUGGUGUAGCCUAAAGGUGGGCAAACAAGACUCCCAGGCUAGACCUCUGCUGCCACCUGUUUUUGUCAAUAAAGUUUUAUUGGUGCACGGAGACACCUAUUUGUUGAUGUGCUGCCAAUGGCUGCUUUUGCACCACCUUGAGUGGUUGUUAAAGACACCAUAUGGCCCAAGAAACCUGAAAUAUGUCCUGGCUGGGUAUAAGCCCUGACAUCCUCCGCCCCGUUAACUGAGCAUCUGUUAAAUAUUUAGUCCCUGCUGAGAAGUGAAUUUGUGAGUGCUUUUCCAGUAGUACUCAGUUGAAACAAUGCUCAGGGCCCUUGGCGGUGUCUUAAUUCUGUGAUUGUUCAGAGGGAGAGUAUGGAUGGCAGGAAGCAGGACGGAUUCAAGGCAGGAAGAGGCCAACAGUUGUCCUCUCAGCUGCAAGUCACUGACCAUGCUACCUGGAGAAGCUAUAGAGAUGGCUGGAACUUCCAACUUGGAGUACAACUUUAUUAACUGUAUUCAUUCAGGCCUUACCAUCCAUAUCAUGGACUUGUGUUUCCAGGCCAACAGGUGGGUGCCCUUUGCCACCAGCUGGUGUUUGGAAGGAUCAAGUCGGACAAUAUGAACCCAGCUGUUUUCUAAACUAUUAGGGUACUAUAUUUGUGGUAAGAAAGCAUCUGAGUGGAUGUUAUUAUCUCUAUUUGGCAUUCAGGGAAAUGAGACUUAGGUAACAUCAAGUGGUAAGCCAGUGGAAGACCUGGAAGCUAGUUUCUGACUUCAAGUCUCAGCUCUUUCCAGUUUACCAUAAUACUUCCUCUAAUGAUGUGUUGCUGUGGUUUCAGAAGUGUUCAGUCAUUUGGGUUGUUUUUUCAUUUAUUCACCAUUUGAUUAUUAUUUAAGAGCUGAUUAUAGGGACUGGCACUGUGGCAUACUGGGUAAAGCUGCCACCUGCUGCACUGACAUCCUAUAUGGGUGCUGGUUUGAGUCCCAGCUUAUCCAUUUCUGAUCCAGCUCCCUGCUAAUGCACCUGGGAAAGCAGUGGAAGAUAGCCCAAGACCUUGGACCCCUUCACCUACAUGGGAGACCCAGAUGAAGCUCUUGUCUCCUGGCUUCAGCCUGGCCCAGCCCUGACCAUUGCAACCAUUUGUGGAGUGAACCAGUGGAUGGAAGAUCUCUCUCCCUGUGUCUCUCCUUCCCUCUUUCUCUCUGCCUUUGCCUUUCCUUCUCUGUAAUGCUGACUUUUUCAAAUAAAUAAAUAAAUAAAUUUUAAAAAAAGAGCUAUGAGCUGGAAGAAAGCUGAAUAUUUCCAGGAGAACAAUGACUCUGUAAAUAAGGGACUUUGAAUCAUUUUGUCCUUGGACUCCUGAGACUGAGCCUGCAGAAGUACGUGGAUUCCCCUGAUUUCCCCUGUGCUUUCCAAGGAGCUGGCUUUUAUUUGGGAUGUGGAACAGAGAGUAGGUGAGAUGGGAGAGAGAAGGCAAUCCCAUCUUUCUUACAAAAUGUUGCCAGAGGCAUUGUUUUUGUGGGGAGCAACCCGGACUAGACUAAGUUACUGGAAUUAAGACUUAUUCUAUGCAUCUGCUCUCCCACAAUAUGGCGCUGGGAGAGGAGCAAACAGCUUCUACACAGCUGCCUCCAGUUCAACCAAUAAACUGUAGGACCUGCUCCUGAUUGGAGGAGAGCAGCGUACUUGGCGUGUGGGUAGCAGAGUUGGGAUUGGUGGAGGAGGACUAUAAAGGAGGAGAGAGACAACAUGCACCAGGAACAUCUAUGAGGAACAUCUGAGCAGCCCCCGAGAGAGCCGGCCGGCGGUGUGCCACUCCCCCGCGGAAGUGGGGAAAGUGGCUAGGGGGAACCGCCCUUCCACGGAUGUGGAAGGGAUGGUAGCCAACCCGGGAAGAACCAGCAGCAAACCCGGGAAGGGCCGAGCAGACAAAAGAACAGCGCAGGGUCCUGUGUCGUUCCUCCAUGAAGACGGGGAGCGACAGUUUUAUGUUGUGUGUGUAUGCAUGUGUCUCUCUGUGUGUCCAUACUGUGACAGAAAAGAGAAAGAGAAGCCGGCGCCGUGGCUCAAUAGGCUAAUCCUCCACCUUGCGGCGCCGGCACACCGGGUUCUAGUCCCGGUUGGGGCGCCGGAUUCUGUCCCGGUUGCCCCUCUUCCAGGCCAGCUCUCUGCUAUGGCCAGGGAGUGCAGUGGAGGAUGGCCCAGGUGCUUGGGCCCUGCACCCCAUGGGAGACCAGGAAAAGCACCUGGCUCCUGGCUCCUGCCAUCGGAUCAGCGCGGUGCGCCGGCUGCAGCGGCGGCCAUUGGAGGGUGAACCAACGGCAAAAAGGAAGACCUUUCUCUCUGUCUCUCUCUCACACUGUCCACUCUGCCUGUCAAAAAUAAAAAAAAAAAAAAAAAAAAGAAAAGAGAAAGAGAGAUACUGAAGUGUUGAUGAAAGUAGAUUGUACUGUCAACUAAAGGAUGCAGACAGCCUGGGCUUGUCAAAGAAAGUUAAGAUUUUGUACCUAAAGUCCAAGGAAAUACAUAUCAGAGAAAUGGUCAAAUAUCAAUUAUCCCGCUAAAUGACAUAUAUUAAAAGUCAGAUAUUGACUUAUUCUACCAUCUCUUAAGUAAGAGGCCCCAUUCAGAUUCUAUUUAUUCAGUGAUGUAUCUUGUAAUUCUUAAAGAAGUCUUUAUUCAUGUUUUAGAGAGAGAGAGAGAGAGAGAGAGAGAGAGCACACUUCCAUCUAUUGAUUCAUUCCCCAAAGGCCAAAAACAUUCAGGAGCCAGACAUCAGGAGCUGGGAAUUCAAUCUAGGUCUCCCACGUGGAUGGCAAGAACCCAAGGACUUGAGCCACCAGGGCUGCCUUCCAGGGUCCACAUUAUCAGGAAGCUGGAGUCAGGAGCCAGGGCCCAGGAGCAGAUUUAGGUAUUCCACUAUAGGACAUGGGUGUCCUAAUCAGUAUGUUCACUGCUAGGUCACAUCCCAUCCCCAUGUCUUGUAAUUUUUGAGAUGAUGAUCAUCAAAUGUGCUUGGAGGAACCUGCUCCUACCAAAACAUUAAAUUUGCCUUGAGAUAAGUGAAAUUCUUGAAAUUUUCUGUUUUUGAUCUUUUCCUUUUGACAGCAAAUGCUUGCCAAUAUUUUCCUCAUAUUUAAUGCAAUUGACCACAUGUUCUCUUUGGAUUUAUCGUGAAUCAAGAAGUCAUUUGUAUGCUCCAGAACAAAGGUGCCAAUGAAGUUGCCCAAUGGAAAAAAAAAAAAAAACAGUGUUCCAGAAUUUUCCUUUGUACAGUUGUCACCUGAAAAGACAUCUGAGAGGUUGAGUCUCCCUUAUCCAAAAUGCGUGUGGCCAGAAGUGUUCCCAAGUUCAGAUUUUUUCCAGAUCUUGGACACAUCCUGAGACAUCUUGGGAAUGGGACCCAAGUGUAUACAUGAAAUCCAUUCAUAUUUCAUGUGCAACUUAUGCAUGUAGCCUGAAGGUGCAUCAGCAGGGCGCUGGAUCGGAAGUGGAGCAGCUGGGACCUGAACCAGUGUCCAUAUGAGAUGACAGCACCAACCAACCACUCCCCUCCUCCCCUCAGUCGUGAUUUGAUGCUGCACAGAACCUUCGCCAAUGUGGCCGCCCAUUUUUGGAGUUCUUAGCCUCCAGAGCCAUGAACCAAAACAAACCUCUUUGCUUUAUGAAUUACCUGGUUUCAGGUAUUCUUUUAUAGCCACAAAACUGGACUAAGACUGUUUUUAUCCUUUUUUCCCCUACCAGGCAUUACUUCGGGCCCCCAUCUCUUUGUUGAUUCUUUCAUUUCUGACUCCUUCCUUCUCAGGUGCUCAUGUGCUCAGUUGCUCAACUGUGGCCAGGCUGGAGGACAGAAAGGGACUUGUUCCUUGAUUACACCUUUGAGUUCUGUAUCUGAUGUUUUUGUCUCAUAAUAAAUUUCUACUUGCUACA